This is a long non-coding RNA of Ictalurus punctatus (channel catfish), 6742 nucleotides long. The record is from Ensembl. Lineage: Eukaryota; Metazoa; Chordata; Actinopteri; Siluriformes; Ictaluridae.
CUUAACUAUAAAUUACAUAGUUGAUGUUAACUGUGUCAAUCAGUAAACAUGUUAUUGAUCUAAAUGAAGCCAUUUUAAAAUCAGAGUUUCCUUCAUUGUUGUAAUAGGUGAAUCUCACCCUCAGUGAGUUUGGAGAAAGUACUAGAUACUGCCGUGUUGGUGCUUGGUGACAGGCCAAACACAUUCAGUGAUUCCAGGAGGGUUUUUUUACUGGCUGGACCCCGACUCACUCUAGUAUAGGCAGCCAGAGAUCUGAGGGACAUUUUCUCAGGUGGUUCCAGCCUCCGUUUUACUUCCUCAUAAUGGAUUUCGUACUUCCUGGCUUUUGAGCUCUUCAUGUUCGGAUCCAGCAGAGAUGCGACCUCUGCAAAGGGGACCUGCAGUGAUGAUCUGGCACCAUCCUGAGACACUGCGACACUCUCACUUUGUGAUGAGCCUUGUGGAACAUGAACUUGUGAUGGCGCAUGGCUUUGAGACUGCACAUGACUCUGUGAUUGUCCAUGACUUUGAGACUGCAUGUGACUCUGUGAUUGUACAUGACUUUGAGACUGCAUGUGACUCUGUGAUUGGCCAUGGCUUUGAGACUGCAUGUGACUCUGUGAUUGUACAUGACUUUGAGACUGCAUGUGACUCUGUGAUUGGCCAUGGCUUUGAGAUUGGCCCCGUCCUUGACCAUGGCCAUGCAUUGAAGCCUGUACUUGUGAUGCUAUCUGAACUGUAUGUGGUACACUUUGACAGGUGACAUCUUGUGGCAGGACAUGUUGCGUAAUGAUCUGCGCAAUGUUGGGGGCCUGUGGCGGAGUCGAAUACAUUGUUAUGAUAGGAUUCCCAACAGUCACAUGGACCACCUCACUGUUUGGGGGAACAGAGGCCAUGUGCAUUCCAGAAGAUGGAUCCAUUUUGCAAAGUCUCUUCUGAAACAGAGUUUUGCUUAGUUUCAACAAAAUAGUUUUAAUAAUUUCUUGUCUCUUCUUGCAAAAUUACAGUAACUAGAACAGUCAUUUGGAGGGCUUUUGCUGCAAUGUGAUAUCAAAACGAGUGUCUGGUUCCCCCAUAAAACACUAGAAAUAAGAAAGAAAAAAAAACGUUAGUUUUACUACAUUGUCACAUCUUUAUAACUCACUUUCACUUAUUUCAAAAUAACCAACUACAGUACAGUGUUAACCGCAAGAGCAAAUGACUACCGUCACUGCAUGCGCUUACGUGAACUCUGGAGUAGGCGCAUGCGAUUACAAAAAUUCUUCCUUCAGCAGCGUCGUCUGUGCGCCGAAUCAAUUUUGGAGUCGACUCUUGAUUCGCCUAGACUCAGAGAAUCAGUUCUUUAUGGGAGCGACUCCCAGGUCUACAUAUAAUUAGGCUUGAGGGCUUUCGGUAACUAGGGAAAUACUGAAACCCGACCUGUCUAUUAAACCAGUUCCCUUAGAGGAAACACAGUAGCUAGAGUGCUACAUAUGACAGCCUGCUAAACAAACCUAGAUAUUUUUUUCCAAGUACAAAAAUAGCUCACUCAGCAAUGCAAGGCCACAGGGGCACAUUUUAAAGAGACGGAUAAUCCACUUGUUUUUAUGAACACUGCCCAAGCAGGCCAAAGCCUCUUGCAGGGAAGGGGGGUCAUGUUGAAACGUAAUAUGGCUGGGUUUCCUAUCAACCACACAAUCCCGCAUUACUUAUGAUUUACACCGCUAGGCUUGAAUCGGAUGAAAGUUACCGACGGUAUUCUUACUCACCGCGCUACUGUUAUAGUCCUAUUUAAACGGCACUGAUCCUGGAACAGUCCAUGGCGAACCGACCGAAGGCCUCCUUCUUCCUCGAUGCUGUUUCGGCGGGUUGCAAAUCAGCAGACAGACCACUGUCGCCAUAGCUUUUUGAUCUCGAGUGCUCAUUGGUCGAUGUUACUGUCAAUCAAGGGCCACUCGUACGUUGUGUUGUUGAUUCCAAUGUCAAUCAUUGCGUCAUUAUAAAAUGGGCGGAACAUCCGGAGCUUUGCCUGGUCCGACAACAAAGACAGAGGAGCGAUUUAAUGCAGGGUCAGGUGUAGAUUUGCUAGAAAAGCAUAAAUGAAGACUACUUCAGCAGUCUGGAAACGCACUGUGUUUGGCAGACUGAUAAACAGGUCAGUGAGUCCACUGCAAUACUCUUUCAGCCAAGAAAUACUUUUGCAUGUCUGGAAAUGCUGGAAAAACAUGCAAUUUAAGGGGAAAAUCUUUGUUGUUGUUGUUGUUGUUAAAAAAAAGCAUGGAUAAUUCUUCAUUCCUCUCCAGUGACUGAUCAGACAGUAGUGCUGGCUGCCUGGCAAAUCACAGGUUUAUAUUAAUGCACUGGUUCUAAUAUCUUAUAAUUUCCAUAGUAACAGCUCAUUCACAGGGACUUGUACAACAGACGCUGCACAUAACCUAACACUAAUAAUAAACAAAUAAAAAAUUUUAAAACAAAUAAAUAUAUAUGUAAUCUUUGAGAAGGUUAAGCUUGGACACAGUUUAUUUUUUAUGGAGGAACAUUUGUGGAGUCUCCUGUGGCAGCACUUUGCAGCCCUGAGGUAAAGCUGUCCCUGUCCCUGUUCUGUUUCAUGUUUUUUUUGUUAUGUUUGUUUGUUUUUUGUUUUUAUAGCUGCUAUAAUGUAAGUGAUAACAAGAACUUGUUUUAUGGAUGUUCAUAUUAUCAACAUUAAAUAUAACCAUAAACAGUUAAAAAGUAUUAAUAAAUAAAAACAUAUAUUUGGUAAAUUGCUGUAGUAUAAAAGGAAUAAAACAAUUCUGAAUGUGCUGUUAUAGGAAAGUAAUCAGCUUUAGGGUGGUAACAUCACACCACCCCAUCUUUGGCUAUUUUCCUCUAACACAGUGGUCUCCAAACCUCUUCCUUCAGAUUUACCAGGUUUCAUCUCCAAUCAAAAUCAAACCUGUUUUAGUUGAUAAACAACAUCUUAAGGCAAUGAUUAGAUGGUCAGGGGGGCAUGAUUAUGGUUGGAGCUAAAGUCUUCAGGAAGGUAGGUCUCCAGGAACAGAGUUGGUAACUACUGCUCUAACAGCACAUCCUGGUGUGUUUUAUUCUUUAAAUAUCACUUAAUAUCAUAAUGAUCAGAUCACAAAUAUCAAAAGAAAGGUUAGGAAACAGUGUGAAAAAAUUGAGAUUUUUUUUUUCAAACAUUUGCUCACAAUAUUUAUUAACAUUUAGAAAUCUGGUCCUGGUAAGUAAAGCAUGUACAGUCAAUUGUUGUUUCCAGUUUGAACCUUAAAAAUAUGUUUCGUUGUCAUGGUUAUUUGCUUAUAUGUAUGUUGGCUAAAAAGAACUAUAAUAAUAUUUGCAGUUUGUUGAAAGAGAAACCAUAAAGUGUUUUGUGAAAUAUAGAUAAUCUUUUCACAACUGUGUUUAGGAAAAGGUCUAAACCUUGUCAUGACAGUUGGAAAUUAGCAAGUUAAUCACUCUGUAUUAAUGAAUUCUGAUGCUUUAAAUGUAUAAAUGCUAUUAUUUUUCCCCUGAUAUUUUCAUUAUUUAAGCACUAUGAAUCUCUUCUCUAUUUUGGACAUCAUGAUUGGUUAAGGACAUUAAUGCAGUGGUAAUCACAUCGGUGGUGAGAUUAAAAACAGAAAAAAAUCCAUGAAGCCUCCUGUGUUUUCCACAGCCCACCCCACUUGAAACACUAUCACACAACAACAUUCAGAGCCCCUGCGGCUGCUGAUGAUAAAUGAUCUGCCUCUCAACUGCCUCCACGUUCGGAACAGAUAAGGAUAAUGAAAGCUAUGGCACAAACUUCAUACUUAGGAGUUUGUAGAUUUUAAAGGGUUCUGAUUUAAAAAGAAACAUUCACUCAAAUUUUUACAUUUUUACAAGGAGAGUUGAUGUAUUUUAAAAAAGCAUGUCAAUGUUCAAAAAGCAUGUUAACCCUUUACUGCAUGGUGUUGCCAUAUGGCAAAAAUUAAUUUAUCUCCAAUUUUUUGACAGGCAGUAAUAGAAAACUACUAUUUUCCUAUGUAAUUGGGAAAAGUGGGCUUAACUUUGACAUUAAAAAGUGCCAUCUCAAGCAUUUGGUGUUAUUUUUUACUAUUAUGCUAUACUACUUGACUGUAUAUACUAUAUAAUUUACUUUCCACCAAUGCACAUUGUUGCCAUAUGGCAACAAUUUACCAACUUACCCCUCUAAAAAAAAUGUCACAUUUUUUAAGUAUAUUUUUUUCUUGAACUAAUUCAAGUAAUAAAAAUCCAUAAAAAACAUAUUUUGAUGUAAAAGUAACAAUUCAUGCAGUAGAGGGUUAAUACUUCUGUGAAUGUUAAUUUCAAUGGAAAUCAAAUUUGGAUAUGGUUUUUGAAAGUCCUGCUAUAAUUAUCUAUAUCAUUUAUAAUCCAUUAGACAACAUAUGUGAGAAUGAGUGUUUAAUGUAUUUAUGUAAUGUAAUGUAAUGUAUGUAUUUAAUGUAUAUAUGUCUCUCUGGCUUUGUCUGUUUAAGCCUAUAUGCCUAUAAGCCUAAGUUGUGUUCAGUCAACACUGAUGAAGAUUGAUAAUGUUAUAAUUGAGGUAAAGCAUUAGAGAACAAUGAUACCUUGUCAUAAACAUGUAUAGGUCCUGGGAGAUUCUUCAUGACUCUUUAUUAGGAAUUAGCUUCGGUUGGAAUUAGUUUCAACAGAAGGAGUUAAUAGGAUUGGGAACUGGUUCCUUUCUGGCCUGGGACUUCAUAUGAGUGAUAAAAACAUCACUCAUAUACGUACAUGUUAGUGUGAAGCUGCAUGUUUGAGUGCAUAGAAAAGCUUUGAUCUAGUGAAUAUUAGCUGUAUUACCCACUGGUCUUAAGCGAUUCACUGAGAUUUUCAGUGACUAAACACAGUUUCCUGCUGCUUCGUUUAAAACCUUUCGACAUGUUUUAACAUUUAGCUUCCUAAACUCCUGCCGGGUAUUUUUUUGAUAUUGUCACGACUGUACCGGCAGCACAAAGACUGUUGUGUCUGUAAGGUCCUUAAAUUUGCAAUGAGAGUUGGAGGGGCUGCCAGCAAUUUAACCAUUGUGUUGCCAUGACAACGGCAGUAUCUGUAGAAAAUGUAGAAGAUUCUGUCUCCUCCAUUAAAGGCAAUGUUUAUCGAGGGAGCAGAUUACUGGCAAUGAUGAGUGUAUAAUGCAGUAUAUUAGAGAAGAGGUCAAAUGUGUGGGGGGAUGAAUGCAUGAUCUGAGAGUGGAAUAUAUGCAUGGUGUUGUGGGAGCACUGUUUCAAUCGGCCAGUGUGAAUGCCACUAGCAGAAAGGUCACCUAUGGGCUUCCAGCUGUUGUUUGUACUAUUAUAUGCCAGCAUGCUAUGUCAGUUAUUUGUGAAUAGCACUAACUGAAAGAAUGUGUAAAAUUUUGCAAAAUGCUUUUGUAUAAUUACUAGAGCAUUUGACAAAAUCUAAAUUGGAUUCUGCCCUGUGAAAGUUGCCUGAAGAAAAUAACAGUAAUGAGUCUCUAACAAGAUUGGAGAUAUUUGUAGAGCAUUCAUAACAUUUUAAUUUCUUUUAAUAUUUAUAUAGGUUUUUUAUAGUAUACAGUAUUUAGCUUUGUGCAUGUGAACUUCCCUCUGACUGGUCAUUGAUUUUGUGUCUCUUUGCCUAUUUCUGUGUUGAUAUGAAGGUAUGUUUCACUAAUGAUCUUGAUGAAAGCAGUUGAUUUUGAAAUUUGAAGUAACUAAAUUCUACAAUUAUGACAUUUGGGCUCCUUUCUUUACUAUCCUCCUCACUGUGUAGUGGGACAAUGUGCUCAUGGGUCCAAAAAUAAUGCUAUUUUUGUGCUUAUGUAUUUUUUAUAUCCAUAUCUUGAUGUGUAUCCAGGUUAACAAAUAUUUAACUCUCUUGGGUUGAAAGCUCUUUGCUUUUCCAUAGUAAUGGAUGACAAAGCUAUUUUGCAUGUGUGGAACCUCAUAUUUAUACUCUAGGAAACAGGACAUUAAAAACAACAGUGUGUGUUUUAUAUCUAGACACACAGUUGUUGUCUUGGGGGCAUGGUGGCUCCAAAAUUCCUCCAAGUGCAUAGCAGCUACACAUCCAGCAAGUCACAAAAGAGCCAAGGACAACAUCAAAGGACCUACAGGCCUCUCUUGGAUCAAUAAAGGUCACUGUUCAUGACUCCGCUAUCAGAAAAACACUUGGCAAUCAAAAAUGACAUCCAUGGAAGAGGUGAGGUGAAAACCACUCCUAACUCGUCAAACUCAUCUGAAUUUUGCCAAAACACACCUUGAUGAUCUUAAACCUUAUGUUCUGUGGAUUGAUAAGUUGAAAGUGGAACUGUUUGGAAGACAGGUCCUGUUAAAUCUGGCGUAAAGCAAACACUGAAUUCCUCAAAAAAAUCAUACCUACGGUCAAGCGUGGGGGUGGAAGUGUGAUGGUGUGGGGAUGCUUUGCUGCUUCAGGGUCUGGGCAACUUGCAGUAAUUAAGGGAAACAUGAAUUCUGCUCUCUACCAGAAAAUCCUAAAGGAGAAUGUCUGGUCGUCAGUUCGUAAGUUGAAAUUCAAGCACAACUGAAUUAUGCAGUAAGACAAUGAUCCGAAGCAGAGGAGUAAAUCCUAGUCGUAGAAGUAAGUGAAAGACUGAUCUCCAGUUAUUAUUUGGUUGCAGUUAUUGCUGCUAAAGGUGGCACAACCAGAUUUUAAGUUUAAGGGGGCAGUUAGUUUUUCACAUUGGUGAUAGGUAUUAGAUAACUUUUUUUGCAUCAGUAAAAUAAAUAAAUAAAUAACUGUAUUGUGUGUUUACUCAGCUUGCCUUUUUUAUGUUGUAUUUUAUUUGAAG